CCUACGGGAGGCAGCAGUAGGGAAUAUUGGGCAAUGGAGGCAACUCUGACCCAGCCAUGCCGCGUGCAGGAAGAAGGCGUUAUGCGUUGUAAACUGCUUUUAUAUAGGAAGAAAUAGACCUUGCGAGGUAAGUUGACGGUACUAUAUGAAUAAGCACCGGCUAACUCCGUGCCAGCAGCCGCGGUAAUACGGAGGGUGCAAGCGUUGUCCGGAUUUAUUGGGUUUAAAGGGUGCGUAGGCGGUUUAUUAAGUCAGUGGUGAAAGACGGUCGCUCAACGAUUGCAGUGCCAUUGAUACUGGUAGACUUGAGUGGGAUUGAGGUAGCUGGAAUGGAUAGUGUAGCGGUGAAAUGCAUAGAUAUUAUCCAGAACACCAAUUGCGUAGGCAAGUUACUAAGUCUCAACUGACGCUGAGGCACGAAAGUGUGGGUAUCAAACAGGAUUAGAUACCCUGGUAGUCCACACUGUAAACGAUGAUAACUAACUGUUGGCUUUCGGGUCAGUGGUACAGAGAAUCGUUAAGUUAUCCACCUGGGGAGUAACGCCGGCAACGGUUGAAACUUCAAAGGAAUUGACGG
Molecule: ribosomal RNA, 577 nt
Filed under: uncultured bacterium
Lineage: Bacteria
Description: bacterial SSU rRNA
Rfam family: Bacterial small subunit ribosomal RNA
Source: RNAcentral